Molecule: long non-coding RNA, 1338 nt
Organism: Astyanax mexicanus (Mexican tetra)
Lineage: Eukaryota; Metazoa; Chordata; Actinopteri; Characiformes; Acestrorhamphidae
Exons: 9
Source: RefSeq, a predicted model, not a curated record
AGUUGAAAUGUUCUACUUAGAACUUGGAAAUUUCCAGUUCUGAAUUCCUACUUCAGAUGGAAUGCAGUAUAAGGAUUCACAUUAGAGCUCGACCCAACCUGCCCCAUACACUGUCAUUUUGAGCCAAAGCCCGAAUUAAACCUGACAUUUUUUGACCAACCCACUCGUUAGGACUCCCCCUAUCACUAGUAAUGCCCCAACACACCAGCAGGAUGAAGACUAGCACACUCUUUCUCCGAUACAUGUGAAGUCAGCCACCGCUUCUUUUCGAGCUGCUGCUGAUGCAGCAUUGCCAAGCAGCCAGCACAUUUGGAGGAAAGCGCAGCGGCAGGUGAACCCGAGGAACCUGAGGAAAGUGGUGGGAAAUCUCGAGCCAGUGACAUGUUGAACUACACUGCCAGUUUGAGGGAAUGUCAUUGCCAUCCACUGCAAAGGAGGCAAAGGGCGCACGGGUACGAUGGUGUGUACAUGGUUGAUUGACAGCGUUUAGUUUGAGAGUGCGCAGGUGUGGGAAAGGGCAAUGGCAGUGAUCUGAAGGUGCGGAUCAUAGUGAAAAGAGAGCAGGUGUUCCAGUGUGUCUGUGCCACGCAGACGAACUGUAGGCUGUUCCCAGAUACUGAAAACAAUGCCGUGGUGAUCAGCUUUCAGGAAGGGCCAGUGGUUUGUGGUGAUGUUAAGGUCAUGUUUGAAUCCAGGGCUGGUCUUCCAAAGGGGUAUGAGGACUAUCCUUUCUAUUUCUGGUUCAACACUUCAUUUGUAGAGAACAACAGGCUCUAUCUGUCAAGGGAGGAACUGGACAACCCACGUAAGUCCAAAACCUGGGACAUCUACAAGGAGGACUUUGGUGUGACCGUGUCUUUCAGUGACCCUGCACUUAUGUAGCAGACGACACUUGCUUGUGUAUCUCAACUAAAACCCUUAAGCCCUGCACAAGGUCUAAAUCUUUGCUCUAAUGUAGGUUUUCACACACUUAUAAAAGGUGAGUGAUGUUUAGGGAUUGGAUUCGGGCAUAUUGUGCCCCUAAAGCUAUAGCUAUAGCUAUAUAACCUCAACUUUAUGUCCAUCCCCCAUCUUCACUGUAGGAGCUUUUUACUGAGCCGUGCAUACACCACAAUAUUAUGCAUUUGUUUGUCAAAUGUUUUUUGUCUUUAAAUGAAGACAAAUGUUUGUGUCAGUUUAGCAUAUUAAGCCUCCAAAAUGUAAAUCUUACUCUUUAAGCUUGAGUGUACAUCAAAUAAAGCAAUCGAGGCUGCCACUGUGAAAUGGUCAAUGGUUAUGUGUGCAGAAACAUGUUUUUGUAGUACACAUGUAUUGAAAUAAAUACUAAUGUCUCUGUAA